RNAcentral lists this non-coding RNA (98 nucleotides) under Williamsia sterculiae. RNAcentral describes it as "Glycine sequence". It matches the Rfam family "Glycine riboswitch aptamer". From Rfam's summary of the family: This family represents the bacterial glycine riboswitch. Lineage: Bacteria; Bacillati; Actinomycetota; Actinomycetes; Mycobacteriales; Nocardiaceae. The record is from Rfam by way of RNAcentral.
CGCUGCGACACGGGAGAGCGUCAUCCGGAAUCCGGAUGACCGCCGAAGGAGCAACACCUCCCCGUCAAACUCUCAGGCACCCGGACCGUGUCGCGACC